Molecule: ribosomal RNA, 472 nt
Filed under: Dichaetophora sp. C5 (Toda)
Lineage: Eukaryota; Metazoa; Arthropoda; Insecta; Diptera; Drosophilidae
Description: partial 28S ribosomal RNA
Rfam family: Eukaryotic large subunit ribosomal RNA
Source: RNAcentral
UUCGUGUGAACAGUGGUUGAUCACGAGUUAGUCGGUCCUAAGUUCAAGGCGAAAGCCGAAAAUUUUCAAGUAAAAAUUUAAAAUCAGAGAAAGUCAAAUGCCAAAUGAUUUUUUAUUUAACACUUGAAUAAUUUUGAACGAAAGGGAAUACGGUUCCAAUUCCGUAACCUGUUGAGUAUCCGUUUGUUAUUAAAUAUGGGCCUCGUGCUCAUCCUGGCAACAGGAACGACCAUAAAGAAGCCGUCGAGAGAUAUCGGAAGAGUUUUCUUUUCUGUUUUAUAGCCGUACUACCAUGGAAGUCUUUCGCAGAGAGAUAUGGUAGAUGGGCUAGAAGAGCAUGACAUAUACUGUUGUGUCGAUAUUUUCUCCUCGGACCUUGAAAAUUUAUGGUGGGGAUACGCAAACUUCUCAACAGGCCGUACCAAUAUCCGCAGCUGGUCUCCAAGGUGAAGAGUCUCUAGUCGAUAGAAUA